AGGACGAACGCUGGCGGCGUGCUUAACACAUGCAAGUCGAGCGAACCUUCGGGUUAGCGGCGAACGGGUGAGUAACACGUGGGCAACCUGCCCCGAGCUCUGGGAUAACUCCGGGAAACCGGGGCUAAUACCGGAUAUGACCCGAGAAGACAUCUUCUCGGGUGGAAAGUUUUUCGGCUCGGGAUGGGCCCGCGGCCUAUCAGCUUGUUGGUGGGGUAACGGCCUACCAAGGCGACGACGGGUAGCCGGCCUGAGAGGGCGACCGGCCACACUGGGACUGAGACACGGCCCAGACUCCUACGGGAGGCAGCAGUGGGGAAUAUUGCGCAAUGGGCGAAAGCCUGACGCAGCGACGCCGCGUGAGGGAUGAAGGCCUUCGGGUUGUAAACCGUCUUUCAGCAGGGACGAAGCGAAAGUGACGGUACCUGCAGAAGAAGCACCGGCCAACUACGUGCCAGCAGCCGC
Molecule: ribosomal RNA, 465 nt
Filed under: uncultured bacterium
Lineage: Bacteria
Description: SSU rRNA
Rfam family: Bacterial small subunit ribosomal RNA
Source: RNAcentral